Molecule: ribosomal RNA, 388 nt
Filed under: uncultured bacterium
Lineage: Bacteria
Description: bacterial SSU rRNA
Rfam family: Bacterial small subunit ribosomal RNA
Source: RNAcentral
GACGAACGCUGGCGGCGUGCUUAAUACAUGCAAGUGGAGCGACGAACCAGGCUUCGGCCUGGGGCAGAGCCGCGAACGGGUGAGUAACACGUGGGUAACCUGCCUCGAUGACCGGGACAACCCGGGGAAACCCGGGCUAAUACCGGAUGUGCUGUCCCCACAUCAGUGGAGACAGGAAAGGAAGCUUCGGCCUCCGCAUCGAGAUGGGCCCGCGGCCCAUUAGCUUGUUGGUGUGGUAACGGCUCACCAAGGCUGCGAUGGGUAGCUGGUCUGAGAGGACGAUCAAGCCACACUGGGACUGAGACACGGCCCAGACUCUACGGGAGGCAGCAGUAGGGAAUCUUGCGCAAUGCGCGAAAGCGUGACGCAGCAACGCCGCGUGGGGGAA